AGUCGAACGGGAAAUACUUUAUUGAAACUUCGGUGGAUUAAUUUAUUUCUAGUGGCGGACGGGUGAGUAACGCGUGGGUAACCUGCCUUAUACCGGGGGAUAACAGCCAGAAAUGGCUGCUAAUACCGCAUAAGCGCACAGAACCGCAUGGUUUGGUGUGAAAAACUCCGGUGGUAUAAGAUGGACCCGCGUUGGAUUAGCUAGUUGGCAGGGCAGCGGCCUACCAAGGCGACGAUCCAUAGCCGGCCUGAGAGGGUGAACGGCCACAUUGGGACUGAGACACGGCCCAGACUCCUACGGGAGGCAGCAGUGGGGAAUAUUGCACAAUGGGGGAAACCCUGAUGCAGCGACGCCGCGUGGAGGAAGAAGUAUCUCGGUAUGUAAACUUCUAUCAGCAGGGAAGAUAAUGACGGUACCUGACUAAGAAGCCCCGGCUAACUACGUGCCAGCAGCCGCGGUAAUACGUAGGGGGCAAGCGUUAUCCGGAUUUACUGGGUGUAAAGGGAGCGUAGACGGCGCAGCAAGUCUGAUGUGAAAGGCAGGGGCUUAACCCCUGGACUGCAUUGGAAACUGCUGUGCUUGAGUGCCGGAGGGGUAAGCGGAAUUCCUAGUGUAGCGGUGAAAUGCGUAGAUAUUAGGAGGAACACCAGUGGCGAAGGCG
RNAcentral lists this ribosomal RNA (661 nucleotides) under uncultured Lachnospiraceae bacterium. RNAcentral describes it as "bacterial SSU rRNA". It matches the Rfam family "Bacterial small subunit ribosomal RNA", at positions 60 to 723 of the family's 1533-position model. Lineage: Bacteria; Bacillati; Bacillota; Clostridia; Lachnospirales; Lachnospiraceae. The record is from RNAcentral.